Molecule: long non-coding RNA, 502 nt
Organism: Colius striatus (speckled mousebird)
Lineage: Eukaryota; Metazoa; Chordata; Aves; Coliiformes; Coliidae
Exons: 3
Source: RefSeq, a predicted model, not a curated record
CGUUAGGAUGGAGCCCGGGAGCAGCUCAGGGACGGGGGAGGGGCUCUGGGGAGGCCCCGUGAGAGCACCAGAAUUUGCUGAGGUCUGACCUGGAGCCGCUGGAGUGUUGAAGGAGUUCAGUUUGGUUUCCUGAGAAUGCUGCUGCUGCUGAAGGGCCUUACGACUCUGUCAGACCAAACACUGUCUAGAAGCAGAGUGCCCAAGGCGAGAGCAGCAGAUGUUCAAGGUGUGAGUUAUCUGUGCUAGCUGAGUGUCACCAAACCAGUGAUGGCAAAUCCCUUCAGCACAUCAGUAACACACACGAGCCAAGAGCUGCUGGCAAGAGAAGCUCAUCUAGAGGACAAGCAAUGACCAAGCACCAGAGGAAACCAGGAAUUGUAGAACUGGGUCAUUGUUUCCUGGAAUCAGUGUGUUUAUGGGAAAUGAGCCCAUGGAAGGUGUGGAAUGUUCAUGUUUCAGUGUACACAGUGGGUGCACUUUGGCCUGUGGCACGCUCCUUUGG